AGACCCGAAACCCGGUGAUCUAGCCAUGGGCAGGUUGAAGGUUGGGUAACACUAACUGGAGGACCGAACCGACUAAUGUUGAAAAAUUAGCGGAUGACCUGUGGCUGGGGGUGAAAGGCCAAUCAAACCGGGAGAUAGCUGGUUCUCCCCGAAAGCUAUUUAGGUAGCGCCUCGUGAAUUCAUCUCCGGGGGUAGAGCACUGUUUCGGCUAGGGGGCCAUCCCGGCUUACCAACCCGAUGCAAACUGCGAAUACCGGAGAAUGUUAUCACGGGAGACACACGGCGGGUGCUAACGUCCGUCGUGAAGAGGGAAACAACCCAGACCGCCAGCUAAGGUCCCAAAGUCAUGGUUAAGUGGGAAACGAUGUGGGAAGGCCCAGACAGCCAGGAUGUUGGCUUAGAAGCAGCCAUCAUUUAAAGAAAGCGUAAUAGCUCACUGGUCGAGUCGGCCUGCGCGGAAGAUGUAACGGGGCUAAACCAUGCACCGAAGCUGCGGCAGCGAACGUAUCACUUAAAGCGAUUCAGCGGGUUACGAUUGACGGAGCGAAGCGACGUCAAAGCGUAUACAAAAUCGAGUCGGUUUAAGGAUACGUUCGUUGGGUAGGGGAGCGUUCUGUAAGCCUGUGAAGGUGUGUCGUGAGGCAUGCUGGAGGUA
Molecule: ribosomal RNA, 655 nt
Filed under: Salmonella enterica
Lineage: Bacteria; Pseudomonadati; Pseudomonadota; Gammaproteobacteria; Enterobacterales; Enterobacteriaceae
Description: partial 23S ribosomal RNA
Rfam family: Bacterial large subunit ribosomal RNA
Source: RNAcentral